RNAcentral lists this ribosomal RNA (345 nucleotides) under Enterococcus casseliflavus. RNAcentral's name for it is "bacterial SSU rRNA". It matches the Rfam family "Bacterial small subunit ribosomal RNA", at positions 96 to 433 of the family's 1533-position model. The record is from RNAcentral. Lineage: Bacteria; Bacillati; Bacillota; Bacilli; Lactobacillales; Enterococcaceae.
UGGCGAACGGGUGAGUAACACGUGGGUAACCUGCCCAUCAGAAGGGGAUAACACUUGGAAACAGGUGCUAAUACCGUAUAACACUAUUUUCCGCAUGGAAGAAAGUUGAAAGGCGCUUUUGCGUCACUGAUGGAUGGACCCGCGGUGCAUUAGCUAGUUGGUGAGGUAACGGCUCACCAAGGCAACGAUGCAUAGCCGACCUGAGAGGGUGAUCGGCCACACUGGGACUGAGACACGGCCCAGACUCCUACGGGAGGCAGCAGUAGGGAAUCUUCGGCAAUGGACGAAAGUCUGACCGAGCAAACGCCGCGUGAGUGAAGAAAGGUUUUCGGAUCGUAAAAACUC